UGAGGAAUAUUGCGCAAUGGGCGAAAGCCUGACGCAGCGACGCCGCGUGGAGGACGAAGGUCUUCGGAUCGUAAACUCCUGUCGAGCGGGACGAAGCCGGGGCGGUGAAUAGCCGCUUCGGUUGACGGUACCGCUAAAGGAAGCCCCGGCUAACUCCGUGCCAGCAGCCGCGGUAAUACGGAGGGGGCCAGCGUUGUUCGGAAUCAUUGGGCGUAAAGGGCGCGUAGGCGGCUUGGUAAGUCCGUUGUGAAAUCCCUCGGCUCAACCGAGGAACUGCGACGGAUACUGCUUGGCUUGAGUCCCGGAGAGGGUAGCGGAAUUCCCAGUGUAGCGGUGAAAUGCGUAGAUAUUGGGAGGAACAUCGGUGGCGAAGGCGGCUACCUGGACGGGUACUGACGCUGAGGCGCGAAAGCUAGGGGAGCAAACAGGAUUAGAUACCCUGGUAGUCCUAGCUGUAAACGAUGGGCACUUGGUGUUGCGGGUAUCGACCCCUGCAGUGCCGAAGCUAACG
This 511-nucleotide ribosomal RNA is filed under the name uncultured Acidobacteriota bacterium. RNAcentral's name for it is "bacterial SSU rRNA". It matches the Rfam family "Bacterial small subunit ribosomal RNA", at positions 355 to 857 of the family's 1533-position model. The record is from RNAcentral. Lineage: Bacteria; Pseudomonadati; Acidobacteriota.